UCAAAGCCGUUGAGCGGGAGGAGUAAGCAAUCGCCGCCUUAGCAGAGAGCCCGGGGCUGCUGGAAGCCGGGCAGGCUGGUUUGCUGAAAAUCACCCGGGAGGCGCCCGCUGAAAGUGUUUGCACCAGUAGGCCGGGACGGUGCCGUCGUUAAAGGCAUAACGAGUGAGCGGGAAAAGGCGCACUAUUGUGGUGGUGCUUAUUAAUAUGUUCCGUUUAUGAGGGUGGUACCGCGGGUAUAAUCCCGUCCCUUCG
RNAcentral lists this non-coding RNA (253 nucleotides) under Peptococcaceae bacterium. Its description in RNAcentral is "T-box sequence". It matches the Rfam family "T-box leader". From Rfam's summary of the family: Uncharged tRNA acts as the effector for transcription antitermination of genes in the T-box leader family. T-boxes are found upstream of many aminoacyl-tRNA synthetase genes and some amino acid biosynthetic genes usually in Gram-positive bacteria. The record is from RNAcentral. Lineage: Bacteria; Bacillati; Bacillota; Clostridia; Eubacteriales; Peptococcaceae.